UGCGGAAGAAGUCGGUAUCACAUAGAGACAUUUUCAAAACGAAUUUGUCAGAAUAGCUCAGCUAAUAGUAUUGCCUGAAAAGUUAUCAACUCGGUAGCUGGGACUGUGUUAGGCUAACUGGCUUGGUCAACCAAUGAGUUGCCUCUGAGGAACAAGACUGCGAGACUAACCGGAAGAAGACAGCUUGCUGUUUGAACUGAUACGCGAACUACAGCAUCGCGUGAGCAACUGCAUACACCGAGAGCGCCUGAGCAGGGCUGCAGUGACGGUGCAUGGACCCUCUCUGGGCACGGACAUCCCCAUCAACCUCAAUUGGCCAGCCGAAGUCAGCGAGCUCCGCGCUUUCUCCUCUCCUCUAGUGGUGGUAUCCUUCACUGACUGCUGUGCUCAAUUUUGGGGUGCUGUGUCAGUUGAAUAUUCAGAGGUGGUUGCGGUGUGCUUUUGAGUAGGAGAUUACAGGUGACCCUUGUCGUGGGUGAUUAUGAGUGCUGACCCAAGUCUGGUGUGGUACGUGUAUCUUCUUUGUCUAUCUUACUGCACUCUGGGGUGAUCAAUGCACAGCUACAGCUGGUUGAAGGGGACCAAAUCCAUAGAACAGUUGAUUUGGUUCCAUUUUACCAGCUUUAGCAAAGCAUUCUGUGAUGAGGGGGACAGUAGUGCUGGAGCUCACAUCCACAGUCAGAAUCUGUAAAGGACAGCAGAGAGGAAAAGCUGAUCAGAUCAUCGCUUUGGUAAGUAACAAGUUCAAUGCUUUAUUAUUUUGCCGUCAAUACACUUGUAGCACCUCAAAGACUCUUAACAAAU
Molecule: long non-coding RNA, 804 nt
Organism: Ictalurus punctatus (channel catfish)
Lineage: Eukaryota; Metazoa; Chordata; Actinopteri; Siluriformes; Ictaluridae
Source: Ensembl